RNAcentral lists this long non-coding RNA (557 nucleotides) under Triticum aestivum (bread wheat). Its description in RNAcentral is "long non-coding RNA (TAES_LNC009799)". The record is from RNAcentral. Lineage: Eukaryota; Viridiplantae; Streptophyta; Magnoliopsida; Poales; Poaceae.
AGCAUAUAUAUAAUCUCUAAUUUCAUUUAAUCCACAUGGCAAUACCAAAAUCAAUUUUCAUAUGUCUCAAUCACAUUUAUUUCAGGGAACAUGUCCUUGUACAUCAUCAGCUAGAUCCGUCUUCUGUUUGUUGGAGGGGUGUACUUUGCUUAUUAGCGUAUAUGCAUAUUGUGCACUCACAACCAAAAGGAACACACUUCGCACUGGCGUUGCACGCGCAAUUUGGAGGGCAGUGAAACUUCAAGAGCUCUUGACCCACUUGAUCCUGGCAUUCACUUAAAUCACAAUCAUGACCACCGGGUUGUGGGAUGACUUUUCUCUUGCAAUCUUUAUAUGCUGUCGCACCUACAAGAUAUCGGCAUGAAAAGAACACGAGUCACACAUCAUGACCAUAAUUUGAUAAAUGAGUUUAUGAGAUGUGCAUUAUAGAGAAGAAAAUGGGCACCAUAUGUUAGCAGAAGGAAGGCGAGGACCAGGAGUUGUGUCACAAUACUUCUCUUCAUUUUCGCCGUAUAUGGCGUUGAUAUCUACUGUUGUUGGUUGCUAUGAAACUUUGG